AUUGAACGCUGGCGGCAUGCUUUACACAUGCAAGUCGAACGAGUGGCGCACGGGUGAGUACUACAUCGGAACGUGUCCUAUCGUGGGGGAUACCUGAUCGAAAGAUCAGCUAAUCCCGCAUACGAUUGGAGCGCCCGUUGCCCGAUUAGCUAGUUGGGGAGGUAAUGGCUCACCAAGGCGACGAUCGGUAGCGGGUCUGAGAGGACGACCAGCCACACGGGGACUGAGACACGGCCCAGACUCCUACGGGAGGCAGCAGUGGGGAAUCUUGGACAAUGGGGGCAAGCCUGAUCCAGCCAUGCCGCGUGCAUGAAGAAGGUCUUCGGAUUGUAAACUGCUUUUGUUAGGGAAGCGGUACCUAAAGAAUAAGCACCGGCUAACUACGUGCCAGCCGCCGCGGUAAUUC
This 406-nucleotide ribosomal RNA is filed under the name uncultured bacterium. RNAcentral describes it as "partial 16S ribosomal RNA". It matches the Rfam family "Bacterial small subunit ribosomal RNA", at positions 30 to 526 of the family's 1533-position model. The record is from RNAcentral.